AUUGAACGCUGGCGGCAUGCUUUACACAUGCAAGUCGAACGGCAGCGCGGGCUUCGGCCUGGCGGCGAGUGGCGAACGGGUGAGUAAUACAUCGGAACGUGCCCAGUAGUGGGGGAUAGCUCGGCGAAAGCCGGAUUAAUACCGCAUACGACCUGAGGGUGAAAGCGGGGGAUCUUCGGACCUCGCGCUCUUGGAGCGGCCGAUGGCAGAUUAGCUAGUUGGUGGGGUAAAGGCCUACCAAGGCGACGAUCUGUAGCUGGUCUGAGAGGACGACCAGCCACACUGGGACUGAGACACGGCCCAGACUCCUACGGGAGGCAGCAGUGGGGAAUUUUGGACAAUGGGCGAAAGCCUGAUCCAGCAAUGCCGCGUGUGUGAUGAAGGCCUUCGGGUUGUAAAACACUUUUGGCGGGAACGAAAAGGACUGUGCCAAUACCACGGUUCGAUGACGGUACCCGCAGAAUAAGCACCGGCUAACUACGUG
This 484-nucleotide ribosomal RNA is filed under the name uncultured bacterium. Its description in RNAcentral is "partial 16S ribosomal RNA". It matches the Rfam family "Bacterial small subunit ribosomal RNA", at positions 29 to 507 of the family's 1533-position model. The record is from RNAcentral.